AUAAUGAUACACUCGCAUGGUGCGAUUCACCCAUAAGAAUGGGAAUGGUGAAAUUCCAGUGG
Molecule: non-coding RNA, 62 nt
Organism: Eubacterium ventriosum ATCC 27560
Lineage: Bacteria; Bacillati; Bacillota; Clostridia; Eubacteriales; Eubacteriaceae
Source: Rfam